This is a long non-coding RNA of Varanus komodoensis (Komodo dragon), 453 nucleotides long. RefSeq lists it as uncharacterized. Lineage: Eukaryota; Metazoa; Chordata; Lepidosauria; Squamata; Varanidae. The record is from RefSeq and is a predicted model, not a curated record. The transcript has 3 exons.
CACAAUAAAUGGCUCAAGUGGAAAGUCCCAAGUGAAGCUAAGCCUUUACUGAAGCCAAGACUUUCAGGUCAUCGGAAAAGAUGCCAAGUAACCUGGAAUAUUAUGUACACAUCAGAAAUGUCAGUUGGAAGUUCCCCUGGGAAUAUAUUGCAAGAAGAAAUCUCUGAUUCGACAGCCAUCAAUGGCUCCUUGGAAAUGCCCAACAACAACAACCACUAGAACAAUCUAUAAGUAGCCAGCAUGGCUUGUUGCUCAGACAAGUCGCCCUGUGGAAAACAGUCUGGGUUUGCACAACAUAACCUACAAUGGCUUGUCACUCACAAGAGAUUGUGGUGUCACAUGAGCCCAGCCCUUAUCUCUGUCAACAUAUUCCUAACAUAGUGAAAUAUGUGAAGCAACAUUUCAGUUUACUUGAGAGUUAUAUUUAUAUUUUGAUAACUUGGUAACUUUGAU